Molecule: long non-coding RNA, 1722 nt
Filed under: Cricetulus griseus (Chinese hamster)
Lineage: Eukaryota; Metazoa; Chordata; Mammalia; Rodentia; Cricetidae
Description: lncRNA (ENSCGRG00015032569.1)
Source: RNAcentral
GUGAGCUGGGCUUGCUUGCUUGGUCGCUUGCAUACUCUCUUGCGAGUCGGGAAAGUGGGCUCCCUCCCCCACCCCAGCACUGUUGUACUGAGCAACAUUUUAUACCAGCUGAAUUUUUGUACUAACUGGACAGGGAAAUCAUGAAAGAACACUUUUCACACGGCUGUCUUUUUAAAUUAUUCUAUGUGGCCUCUCUUUUCUUCCAGAAGAAUCUAGGGCACAUUUUAUCGCUUUUCCUGUCACCGUCGGGUGUUAACAAGCAGUUUGACUUGCCGUUAUUAUAAAGUCCAGUCCAAUCUAAAUCAAACUUUAAUCUCAUUUCAUUUAAGCCUUCCCUACUCCUCUCCCCUGGCUCACAAACUACCAGCCUGAUCUAAACGUAAACAGAACAGCCUCCUUCGCUCCCUUCACUUUCCAAUUAGGGUGUUCUGUGAAGCCUAGAGCCUCCGAGAUGGAAGGAAUGGGGUUCUGACUCGACAGCUCCCUCCUCAGGCCACCCCCCACUUCCUCCAGGGAAGCAUGUCCCCAAUAGGCCGACCCAGCUGUCUUCCACCAUGUCUCCUCAUGGUGUCCAUCACACUAAAGAAAUUCUGAUUAGCCUCUUCCUUGAGCCUUGUCAGGGGGCCAUUUCCAAGUUCAGGAAUAUCUCCACACUCCAGAUGAAAUGCAGCGGCUUCUCACCACAUUUCUCCUCAGGCUCGUCUUCCCAGGGCGAAGUGAGUGAGUCCUUCCCCUUUGCCUUGAUAGCACCCUGUCGAUCUCACAGCGAACUGCUGAACCAACAGAAUGCCCUCCUGGAAAGUCUCACACUCUAUCCCAGCAUGCACCUACCUGUCUCCAUGGCAGCACAAGGCAAGGCACUGAGCUCGUGGGAUCAUGAACAGCUAACAGCACAUAGCAGUGACUCCUUGGGAUCUGCCAGGAAACAGAGGGGAUGCCAACAUUUUGCUGACUUUCUCUUUGUUCCCCCUUUGAUUCUGGCAGGAUCCCUAGUAGAUUGGUGCUAAUCAUACACUUGAAUUACGUCCUCCCCCUCAAAGAAUCCUCCCUGGAGAUGUCCUCAUAGACACCUCCGGAAAUUCUCUCCCAUCUCCUAGCUGGUUUCAAAUUGUUGAGUUGACAAUGAAGAUUAAUGGUUACAAAUGGUAACUCGGAAAGGGCCAUACAUAGUCAAUCCAGACAGAACAAUCGUAGUCCUAUUGAGAUUUUCCAGUUUUGGAUGGACUAGCCGAAAUGGAAAGUCAAGUUGUUUUUGCUGUUUGUUUGGUUUUUUUUUUUUUUUGAUUGACUGACUGAGUGAGUGAUUGAUUGAUUGAUUGAUUGAUUGAUUUGCUCUAAGUCUGAUCCUGCCUGGGUAUCUUCUCAGAAUUCCCAAACUACAAGUCACCUACUGUGCCCAGUAGCUAUUCCAAAAUAAGCAGCAUUUUAAUACUCGUACAUUUUAAUUUAAUUGAUAUGUUCAUAUAUUUUAAUGCUGUAAUGGGGAACUGUAAACAGAAGCAAAUGUUCUUUUUUAAGGGAGGCAGGAAUGAAAUCAGCAGGUUUGGCAAUGGAGGUCACCCACAACUCCUGGAGCAGAGCUUCUCCGGACAUGAAUGCAGGUGGUUUGUUUUGGGAGAUCAGGAUGUAGAACUCUCAGCUACUUCCCCACACUAUGUCUGCCUGCCUGCUGCCAUAUAACCUACCAUGACUGAACCUCUGAACUGUAAGCCAGUCCCCAAU